RNAcentral lists this long non-coding RNA (2643 nucleotides) under Nicotiana tabacum (common tobacco). RNAcentral's name for it is "long non-coding RNA (NTAB_LNC007051)". Lineage: Eukaryota; Viridiplantae; Streptophyta; Magnoliopsida; Solanales; Solanaceae. The record is from RNAcentral.
CCUAGUAUCUCAGAAAUUGAACUCUUGAAAGAAUCACGAUUUGGGUUCUUCUCUGCAACCUAGGGUUUCAAUCUCCUUCUCGUCAAGGUAAGCUCUAAACUUGCAGUCAAUUAUUUUGUCCAAAUUUGCGUAUAAGUUGUUGAAGGAAUGACUGAAAAUUAUCUUAUUUUUUCAUACGGAGUAUAACAUGCUGUCCAAAUUUGGAUUGAAGUUGUUGAAAGAAUCUCUUAAAAUUAUGUUUGUGUUUAUACCAAGUAUAGUGUGCUGCCAAAUUUGUAUUUUAGUUGUUGAAGGAAUGUCUAAAUCAGCCCGUUAGAGCCUUAUUCAUGAGAGGAUUUACAGGAAAUCAUUGGAAAUUUCUUUAAUCCUUGUUCCAUAAAUUCAUUAGAGCUGAUUCUAAAGCAUCUCUACGGAGUUAUUGAAGGGUGCUUUAUAAGAAUUAAUUAUUUUUGUGGUUUGAAAUUGGGCAUUUUUUUAUGUUAUCGUCUCUCUCUAUGUUUUUCAAAUACUGGGUUGCAUCUUAUAAUUGCAUAUGCUCCAAACUUAUAAUUACAUGUAGGUUUUAUGACAUUGCUGAUGAAUUCGCAGAAGUUGGUUCUUUAUUUUCAUUGAAUAUUGCCUCGUUAUAGGUCAAUUAUGUGUCUUCGUCUUGUAGAGCAGAUUAUUUUUUGGAAUUGGGUUUGAUUGCAUAUUAUUAUUGGAACAAAAGGUUUCUCACUAUCUGUUCGUGAUUGUAUUGUAAACUUUUCGUGUGAAAUAAGAAUUCGCUAACUUUAUCCUUAAUUAAACUUUCUGAGUACAUUGGGAAGAAAUACGUGAUUCUCUUUUUCUACCCACUAGACUUCACAUUUGUUUGCCUGACAGGUUAGCUUGUAUCCUAAAAUCACCCAACUGCUACUUUCACUUUCUUAUAAUGAAGUUGAACUGAUUACGGUUGUUUCUUAAUGUAUUUUUUCGCUAUUAUCAAUUCAUGCUACUGUAGAGAUCACUGCUUUCAGUUAUCGUUAUGAAGAAUUUCAGAAGGUGAACACGCCUGCAAUAAGAUCAUUUAUAUUAGCUCCACCUUACCAAAGCAAUCAAAUCAUGAUUUGGGGCGGUAUUCCAAUUCUUUGCUGAGAUCAUGAUUUCAUUAUUUAAAUUAGUUUCCUAUAGUUAUAUUUAUAGUAUGUAAUUAUUUUGGCUCGAUUCGAGUCGUUCGGAGUCGGAAAAUCGAGAGAAAGGUCUUCUAGUUGAUUGAUUUAGCGUGGUUUGAGGUAAGUGACUUGUCUAACCUUGUGUAGGAGAAAUUCCCCUUUGGAUUUGGUACUGUUGUGAUAAUUUUUGAUAUGUGAAGGCCGUGUACUCAACAUGGCGAGUGCGUACACGGGCUAAAUAUUGAGAUUCCACUUUUAGCUACGUAGUUUCAUUUUUUCAUGCCUUAAUUGAAUCACUUUAGCAUGUUAUAGUCACCAUGUUUAGCCUAAUUUCACAUGUCUACUUGUCUUAUCUCCUAUUUGCAACUUGUACUACAUGUUUAGUUGAAUUACUUACUUUUUUAAUUCCGUAUUCAUUAUUUAAAUGUGGAAAUUCCUUACUUGAAAUUUGCUAUCCUUGAAAUAUCUUGGUGUUGAGUUGCAAGGGUCGUGGUUUCUAUUGAGGCAAGGUGUAAGUUGUGAAGUGUCAUUUUAUUUUGUUGUUACGUUUUGGCUUCCGUGUUAUUGUUGAGGUGAUUGUUUGGUUGUGUGCAUGAGGUUUCUACCCUGUUGUUGUUAUUGUUUGUACGAGAUUUCUAUCGUGCGGUUGUUACUAUUUGCACAAGGUUUCUGUCGUGCCGCUGUGAUUAUUGAUACGCAUGCAGUGGUAUAAGGUCUAGGUGUUAAAACGCAUGCGGUGAGAUAAGGUGGGCUUGAUACGCGUGGCUAGUAGGGGAACGACUAGAAGCCAUGCGGUGUGAUAUGGUGGGCUAAAACGCGGGGUGCUAUUUCGGAUAAAUGAUUUUCAAAACUAAAUGUAAAGGCUCUCGCGGUGAUAUAAGGAAAGACUGUGAUUUAUUUUUAUGAUUUGGGACUACGAGUCGGUACCUUGGGAAUGCCCCUGUUAAUUUUCUCUAUUUGCUAUAUUGUUUGGGUGUUUUUUCCUUAACAUGUAAAAUCCUUGUUUUCCUUUCGUGAUUUUAUUAGCUUCCUUGAUUUCCGUGAUCUUACUUUCUAUAAUUUCUUUAUUGUUUCCCUUUUUUGUUAUUUCAGUAUAUCAUUAUAUUUUCUGUCUUCUUAUUAUCUCUAGUAGGGCGUCGACCUGACCUCGUCACUACUCUACCGAGGUUAGGCUUGACACUUACUGAGUACCGUUGUGGUAUACUCAUACUACGCUUCUGCACAUGUUUUGUACAGAUUCAGGGACAUCUUAUCAGCCUCGGUAUUAGCGCGUUGAGUUGCUUUCUUUGGAGACUUCAAAGUACACCUUCCCGCGUUCGCAGGCCUCGGAGUCCCCUUCUACCCUAUUCAUUUCUUAUUUCUUUACAUCUUUAAGGACAGUGAUGUAUAAGAGUAUUCAGUACUAUAUCUAGAGCUUAUUACUUAUAUUUUCACCGGGUUUUGGGAGAUGUACAUGUUGAGUUGCAGAUUUUAUUUCAUAUAGUUAUUGAUAUUUUUGAGAUUUAAAUCA